This 253-nucleotide ribosomal RNA is filed under the name uncultured bacterium. RNAcentral's name for it is "partial 16S ribosomal RNA". It matches the Rfam family "Bacterial small subunit ribosomal RNA", at positions 524 to 776 of the family's 1533-position model. The record is from RNAcentral.
UACGUAGGGUGCGAGCGUUGUCCGGAUUUAUUGGGCGUAAAGAGCUCGUAGGCGGUUUGUCGCGUCGGCCGUGAAAUCUCCACGCUUAACGUGGAGCGUGCGGUCGAUACGGGCAGACUUGAGUUCGGUAGGGGAGACUGGAAUUCCUGGUGUAGCGGUGAAAUGCGCAGAUAUCUGGAGGAACACCAAUGGCGAAGGCAGAUCUCUGGGCCGUAACUGACGCUGAGGAGCGAAAGCAUGGGGAGCGAACAGG